This is an unclassified non-coding RNA of Vigna unguiculata (cowpea), 1670 nucleotides long. NCBI's taxonomy places the organism in Eukaryota, Viridiplantae, Streptophyta, Magnoliopsida, Fabales, Fabaceae. The record is from RefSeq and is a predicted model, not a curated record.
UAAGAUUAAUAAACAAAAACGAAGACCAUCGUAUUUUAACCUUUUCUUUUCCAACUUGUAGCAUUUUAGAGGGAAGGAAAUGCAUUGGGAUGAGAUAACGAAUUGUGGCGCUAUUCUAAUAAACUUGGCGUUCCGUUGUUCGUUCAAUUUCAAGGGAGAGAAGAGAGAGAGUAAUGGCCUCCUCUGCAUAUUCGUCUUGGCUCGUGCUCUCAUCCACCAGCACCAAACACAAACCCUUCUUCUCUGUCCCCAGCUGCUUCAAAUUCAAUGUUCCCAUCGCUUCACAAAUCCAAUGGCAUUCAGAUUCGUAUACCCAAAGAAACCUUCGUCCCCCUCCCGAAAUUAAACGCCAUUGGGUGGAAGCAUCUGAUAAAUCUUUGGAUUCUCCGGAAAGAUUCACAGUGGCCUCUUACAACAUACUGGGAGAUAGAAAUGCUUCUCAACACUCGGAUUUAUACGUAAACAUUCCUUCUCGUUACAUCAAAUGGGAUCGUCGCAAGAGGGUGAUUUCUGAUGAGCUUCUUGGAUGGGACCCUGAUAUUGUCUGCUUACAAGAGGUGGAUAAGUAUUUGGAACUUUCAGACAUUAUGGUUAAAGCAGGAUAUGCUGGAUCUUAUCAGAGACGCACAGGAGAUUCAGUUGACGGAUGUGCCAUGUUUUGGAAAACUGAUAAGUUCCGGCUACUAGAAGGAGAGAACAUUCAAUUUAAGGACAUUGGCCUUCGUGAUAAUGUUGCCCAACUGUCAGUUUUUGAGAUGUGUGAAUCUUACUCAAGAAGACUGUUAGUUGGUAACAUCCAUGUACUUUACAACCCAAACAGGGGAGAAGUUAAAUUAGGUCAAAUUCGUUUUCUCUCGUCAAGAGCACGGUGUCUCUCAGAGAAAUGGGGUAAUACCCCUGUUGUGCUAGCUGGUGAUUUUAAUAGUACUCCUCAGAGUGGAAUAUAUAAGUUUUUGUCAUCAUCUGAGCUUAAUGUCAAGCUGUAUGACAAAAAGGAAUUAUCUGGACAAAAACGGUGCCGUCCUGCUCAAGUUUUAGGGGAGAAUAAAGAAACCGUUGGUCCAGUUGUCACCCUAGACGGCUUGUUAUGUUGGACAGAUGAAGAGAUAAAAAUAGCAACUGGAGAUUCUCAGUGUCAUUUGGCUGUGCACCCAUUGAAGCUGAAUAGUUCGUAUGCUACAGUUAAUCUUUUCAGGGUUCAACAAGUACACGGGGAUUCAAUGAUGAACCCUUGGCAACUUCCUACCACUCAAAGUUUCUUGGCACUGUAGAUUACUUAUGGUACUCUGACGGUAUUGUACCUACUAGAGUUCUUGAUACCGUUUCAAUUAGUGAUCUCCUGAGGGCAGGUGGCCUACCAUGCAAGAAGGUGGGAAGUGAUCAUUUGGCCUUGGUUUCUGAAUUUACUUUCUCAGUUACAAACAAUGAACCUACAGACAUAAUGGCGGUAGGAGAAGCAGCACCAGCUAUAAGAUAUUGAAGAGCCUAACAAUCAACAGUCAUAAGGAAAACUGCUUUUUUCUUUCUUGUUUACUUAUAGUUGUACUUGUUGAUGUCAACACAGUGGUAUUCGUGGCAUUACUUGUCAUGCACCUUAACAAAGCCAAAAAGUUGUACCAUACUUUUUUGGAGGUAAAUGUAAAUGUAACAAAGUUACAACGUGAAAAAAA